AAGCGACUCUGCGCGGCCCGAGCCUGGACGGCGGCUCCGAAGGACCAAAAAUUUUUCCCUAGUCCUUUCUCGUCCAAGCUAAAGUUCCUGUGGACUUCCCAGGAAAACGACAGUGUCCGGAAGCCUCUGCAAUGCCCUCUUAGGAUUGUCCAAGAAGAUGGCGAAACAUUUGCAGGCAGCGAUAGGAGUUGAGGGAAUGUGCGGGCUGAAACUAAGGUUUUUUUCUUUUGUUUUGUUUCGUUUUUGAGACGGAGUCUUGCUCUGUCGCCCAGGCUGGAGUCCAGUGGCGCGAUCUCGGCUCACUGCAACCUCCGUCUCCCGGGUUCCAGAGAUUCUCGUGCCUCAGCCUCGCGAGUAGCUGGGAUUACAGGCGUGAGCCACCACGCUUGGUUAAUUUUUGUGUUUUUUGUUUGUUUGUUUUUUGAGACGGAGUCUCUUUCUGUCGCCCAGGAGUGCAGUGGCGCGAUCUCGGCUCACUGCAACCUCCGCCUCCUGGGCUCAAGCGAUUCUCCUGCCUCAGCCUCCUGAGUAGCUGGGAUUACAGGCGCCCGCCACCACGCCCGGAUAAUUUUUUGUAUUUUUAGUAGAGACGGGGUUUCACUAUGUUGGUCAGGCUGGUCUUGAAUUCUUGACCGCGUGAUCCGCCCUCCUCGGCGUCCCAAAGUGCUGCUGGAAUUACAGGUGUGAGCCACCGCGCCCGGCCAAUUUUUUUUUUUUUUUAUUUUUUAGUAGAGACGGGGUUUCGCCAUGUUGGCCAGUCUGGUCUGGAACUCCUGACCUCAAGUGAUCCGCCCUCCUCGGCCUCCCAAAGUGCUGAGAUUACAGAAGUAAGCUACCGCGCCAGGCCUGAAGCCAUGGGUUUUGAGGGGUGUUUAUUUGUUUGUUUGCUUAGAGAUGGGGUCUUGAUCUGUCGCCCAGGCUGGAGUGCGGUGGCGCGAUCAUAGCUCACUGCAGCCUCCAACUCCUGGGCAAGUGAUCCUCCUGCCUCAGCCAACCCAAUAGCUGGGAUUACAGGCGCGAAGCCCACUGGUUUUUAGGUUUCAUGUUGCCUCUCCCACCCCCUCUCCUUCCAGGGGACUGGGGAACGGUGGAGGCUCAUAUAGACCUGAAAGGGGCACGAGGGAUCCUCCCAGGUUGCUGGAAUCUCUAGUAUCUUUACCUAGGUGGUAGAUACGUGGAUGUCUACAUUUUUUAAAAAAAUCAAUUAGACUAUUACAUUUUUAUUUUAUUUUGAGACAGCUUUUCACUCUUGUCACCCAGGCUGGAGCGCAAUAGUGCAAUCUCAGCUCACUGCAACCUCCACCUCCGGGUUUCAAGCUAUUCUUCUCCCUUAGCCUCCCAAGUAGCUGGGAUUACGGGCGCCUGCCACCACACCCAGGUAAUUUUUGUAUUUUUAGUAGAGACGGGUUUUCACCAUGUUGGUCAGGCUGGUCUCGAACUCCUGACCUUCAGAUGAUCCACCCGCCUCUGCCUUCCAAAGUACUGGGAUUAACAGGCGUGAGCCUCCACACCCAGCAACUAUUGCAUUUUAUUUUACUGUAUGUAUGUAAUACCUUAACCACACACAAAAAAUUACCUUGUUCAAAUUUUCCAGAAUUAGAAUUCUACCAGUUCCCCAAAGUCUUGCUGUUUCUCCAUGCCCCUUAGCCCUUACCAGCUGCUAGAGCUGUCUUUUCAUCCUUUGCACCCUGGCACACUCCUACUCAUCCCUCAGAACCCAAAUGUCACCUCUUAUCUCUAAAAUGUUCCUUGACAUCCUUCUGCCAAAUACUAGCCCCUUCCUCUCUGUUUACAAUGCAGAUUCGGUCCUAGUGAAUUACUGUUAUUUUCUACUCUGCCUCACUCAUGAAGGCACAAGACUUGAUUUACAUACGCUGUCCUCUUCAGGCCCUGCCACAGGGCCACAGAAGGACCUCACACAUUUCAUGUCAAUUGAGGUCACUGGACUGACCUGGGAAUGAGGAGCCUGGGUUGUUACUCCACUUUUGCACAUAGAUGUGUGACCUUGAUUAUUUUCCACCACGUCCUGGCCUCGGUUUCCUUAUCUGUUAAAAGGGAAUGACACCACAGGCCUUGCAAAAUUGAAGGGAUUAUUUCUUUGAAGACCAACAGGCGAUAGGGGGCAGUAGUGUCCCAGGAUCCAGUUUCCCGCUUCAGGUUUCAAGAAACAGGAGCAGCUGCAGUGAUGAAGUUUUCCCGACUAUGACAGUGUACAGUUGACCUUGAACAACGUGGGGGUUUGGGGCACCGACCCCUGCACAGUCCAAAAUCCUGGGGUCUUUUUUUUAAUUUGACAUGGAGUCUCCCUCUGUCGCCAAGGCUGGAGUGCAGUGGCGCGAUCUCAGCUCAUUGCAACCUCUGCCUCCCGGGUUGAAGCAAUUCUCCUGCCUCAGCCGCCCAAGUAGCUGAGAUUACGGGCGCCCGCCACCAUGCCCGGCUAAUUUUUGUAUUUUUAGUAGAGACGGGGUUUCACCAGGUUGGCCAAGCUGGUCACGAACUCCUGACCUCAGGUGAUCCACCCGCCUCGGCCUCCCAAAGUGCUGUGAUUACAGGCAUGAGCCACUGCGCCUGGCCUCAUUUUUGACUCCCCAAAAACAACUUUUUUUUUUUUUUUUUUUUUGAGAUGGAGUUUUGCUCUUGUCGCCCAGGCUGGAAUGCAAUGGCACGAUCUCGGCUCACUGCAACCUCCACUUCCCAGUUCAAGCAGUUCUGCCUCAGCUUCCUGAGUAGCUGGGAUUACAAGUGCCCACCACCACGCCUGGCUAAUUUUUAUAUUUUUAGUAGAGACUGGGUUUCGCCAUGUUGGCCAGGCUAGUCUCGACUCCUGACCUCAGGUGAUCUACCCGCUUUGGCCUCCCAAAGUGCUGGGAUUACAGGCGUGAGCCACUGCGCCCAGCCCAAAAACUUAACUAUUGACAGCAUACUGUUGACCAGAAGCCUUACCAAUGACAGUUGAUUAGCAUUUUGUUUGUUUGUUUUUCGUUUUUGUUUUGAGAUGGAAUCUCGCUCUGUUGCCCAGGCUGUAGUGCAGUGAUGUGAUCUCGGUUCACUGUAACCUCUGCCUCCUGGGUUCAAGUGAUUCUCCUGCCUCAACCUCCCAAGUAGCUGGGACCACAGGCACCCGCCACCAUGCCAGGCUAAUUUUUGUAGUUUUAGUACAGAUGGGGUUUCAACAUGUUGGCCAGGGUGGUCUCGAACUCCUGGCCUCAAGUGAUCCACCCACUCUGGCCUUCCAAAGUGCUGGGAUUACAGGCAUCAGCCACUGUGCCUGGCCAAUGACAGUUGAUUAGCAUAUUUUGUAUGUUAUAUAUAUUACAUGCUGUAUCCUUACAAUAAACCAGAGAAAAGAAAUUGUUAUUAAGAAAAUAAUAAGGAUGAGAAAAUAUAUUUACUCUUCAUGUAGUGGAAGUGACUCAUGGUAAAGCUCUUCAUCCUUGUCAUCUUUAUGUUGAGUAGGCUGAAGAGGAGGGGAGGAGGAAGGGUUGGUCUUGCUGUCUUGGGGGGUGGCAGAAGUGGAAGAAGUGGUGGAGGUGGAAAGAGAGAGGCAUGAGAGGCGGCAUACUUGGUGUAACUUUUAUUUAUUUAUUUAUUUUUAUUGAGAUGGAGUCUCGCUCUUUCGCCCUGGCUGGAGUACAGUGGCUCAACCUCGGCUCACUGCAACCUCUGUCUCCCAGGCUCAAGAGACUCUCCUGCCUCAGCCUCCCAAGUGGCUGGGAUUACAGGCGCCGGCCACUAUGCCCGGCUAAUUUUUGAAUUUUUAGUAGAGACAGGGUUUCACCAUGUUGGCCAGACUGGUCUCGAACUCCUGGCCUCAACUGAUCCGCCUGCCUCCGCCUCCCAAAGUGCCAGGAUUACAGAUGUGAGCCACGGUGCCCAGCCAGGUGAAAAAAAUCCAUAUAUAAGCGGACCCAUGCAUUUCAAACCUGCGUUGUUCAAGGGUUAACUGUAUUAUUGAACUGAAGAGUUCUACUGGUGAUCCCCUACUUCCCCAUCUUCCAGACUGGCAGACAUCCUGCUUUCCCUGGCAGGUCAGUUCUGUAAUGUGACUCCAGUGCCGUCACUGGAGGGAGACAGCCUAGAGCCUCUUCCUCUAUCCUUAACAACACAUUGAUACGCCUGUUUCCCGGAUGUCUCUUUCAACUGAUAAUAUCUUUUUUUUUUUUUUUUUUUUUGAGACAAGAGUCUUGCUCUGUCGCCCAGGCUGGAGUGCAGUGGCGCGAUCUCUGCUCACUGCAAGCUCUGCCUCCUGGGUUCACACCAUUCUCCUGCCUCAGCCUCCCGAGUAGCUGGGACUACAGGCGCCCGCCACCAUGCCCAGCUAAUUUUUUGUAUUUUUAGUAGAGACGGGGUUUCACCGUGUUAGCCAGGAUGGUCUUGUGGUCUUGAUCUCCUGACGUCGUGAUCCACCCACCUUGGCCUUCCAAAGUGCUGGGAUUAUAGGUAAGAGCCACUGCGCCCAGGCUUUUUUUUUUUUUUUAACUUGAGAUGGAGUCUCGCUCUGACUCCCAGGCUGGAGUGCAAUGGUGCGAUCUCAGCUCACUGCAACCUCCGCCUCCCGGGUUCAAGUGAUUCACCUGCCUCAGCCUCCCAAGUAGCUGGGAUUACAGGUGCAUGCCACCAUGCCCAGCUAAUUUUGUUUUUGUAUUUUUUAGUAGAGACAGGGUUUUGCCAUGUUGGCCAGGCUGGUCUCGAACUCUUGACCUCAGGUGAUCUGCCCACCUCAGCCUCCCCAGAAUGCUGGGAUUACAGGUGUGAGCUACUGCGCCUGGCCUCUGCUGAUAAUAUCUACAGAGGUUUCCUCUUAAACCAAUGGAUGCAGCCCCUUUUGUUUUCUAUUUUUGUUUGUUUCCUUUGAGACAGGGUCUGGCUCUGUCACCCAAGCUGGAGUGCAGUGGCAUGAACACGGCUCACUGCAGCCUCACAUUCCUGAGCUCAAGCAAUCCUCCCAUCUCAGGCUCUGCAGUAGCUGAGACCACAGGCACAUGCACCCACACCCAGCUAGUUUUUUUGUUUUUGUUUUUGUUUUUGUUUUUAACUAUUUGUAGAGAUGGAGGUCUCCCUAUGUUACCCAGGCUGGUCUCCAAUUCCUGGGCUCAAGCAGUCCCAAAGCACUGGGAUUACAGCCGUCAACCACCACUCCUGGCUUUUUUUUUUUUUUUUUUUUUUGAUACAACCCUUUUUGACUUCCCAAGCAACCCAACUGCAGAAGAAGGCCAAGAACAAUUUUGAUUUUAUCUAGAAAUUCAAUGUUAAUUUUCGGCUUUGAACUGAUUAAAUAAUAGUUCUAAGUCCACUUAUCAAGGAAUUAAAAUGCGGGGCUGGGCGCAGUGCCUCAUGCUUGUAAUCUCAGCACUGUGGGAGGCCAAAGGGGAUGGAUUGCUUGAGUCCAAGAGUUCAAGACCAGCCAGGGCAGCAUAGCAAGACCCCAUCUCUACAAAAAAUACAAAAAAAAAAUUAGCCAGGCAUGGUGGCACGUGCCUGUAGUCUCAGCUAUUUGGGAGGCUGAGGUGGGAGGAUCACCCAAGCCUGGGAGAUCAAGACUGCAGUGAGCUGAGCUGUGAUAGUGCCACUGCACUCCAGCCUGGGUGACAGAGUGAGACCCUGUCUCCAAUAAAUAAAUAAAUAAAUAAAUAGUGGACAUUUUUAGGAUCUCGGCGGAACACAGUGAAUUGUAUAUUGUAGGGUUUUAUUAUAUAAAUCGGGACUCAAAUUCAAAUGCCUUCAGGGAUCAGGCAGUUUAUAUGAAUCAGAGAUGGCACUAGCAUAGGCAGUAGGAGCGGGGAGGAUUGUGGCAAACUGGAUCAUAGGAUGUCAUACCUAAAUACAUUCAAUUCCAAUGUCUGAAAACACACUGGUAGCCAAACCAAAGAUGCAGCCAGAAGUCACUAAGUUUAUGGUUUACGUUAUAAAUGUAAUUGACUAUGUUAUCUGAAAUCAGAAAAGAGAUAAAGGUAACUCAAUCACAGUACUGUAAAAUGAUUGCUAUCAACUGCUUGACGUAUUUCUUUUGACGGCUCUAGUUUUUUGUUCAUUGGUUUUUUGGUUAGCAUUGUUGUAGCUAUAUUUACUCAUCAGGUGUUUUUCAACAUUACUGUUUCAGGAUCUGCAGUCAAAUUUACCCAGAGGAUCCCAGGCUCUUAGGACUUGACAGGUCACCCACAGUAAAGUGUAGUCCUAGCUACUCAGGAGGCUGAGGCAGGAGAGUCACUUGAACCCAGGAGGUGGAGGUGGUAGUGAGCCGAGAUUGCACCACUGUACUCCAUCCUGGGCAACAGAGCGAGACUUCGUCUCAAAAUAAAUAAAUAAAGUGUUAUACUUCAGUGGUUUCUGGUAUAUUCUCAGAGUUGUUCAAACAUCACCACUAUCUAAUUUCAAAACAUCUUAUUGCCCCAAAAAAGAAACCCUGUACCCAUUAGCAGUCAUUCCCCAAUCCCUCCUCUGCCCAGCCCUGGCAACCACUGUCUACUUUCUGUUCUGUGGAUUUGGAGUAGAAUCAUAUAGUAUGUGGCCUCUUGUGACUGGCUUCCUUCUCUUGGCAUGAUGUUUAAAGGUUCAUCUACAUUGUAGUGUGUGUCAGGAUUUCAUUUCUUUUUGUGGCUGAAUCAUAUUCCAUGGUAUGCAUGCACCACAUUUUGUCUACGGAUAUUUGAGUUGUUUCCACAUUUUGGCUAUUAUUAAUGCUGCUAUACACAUUUGGCAGAGUGCAGUAGCUCACACCUAUAAUCCUAGCACUUUGGGAGGCUGAGGCAAACGGAUCAAUUGAGGCAGGAGUUUGAGACCAGCUUGGCCAACAUGGCAAAACCCCGUCUCUACUAAAAAUAUAUAGCCAGGCAUGGUGGUGCAUGUCUGUAAUCCCAGCUGUUCAGGAGGCUAAGGCACAAGAAUCGCUUGAAUCCGAGAGGCAGAGCUUGCAGUGAGCCAAGAUCGCACCACUGCACUGACAGUGUUUCAUCAUGUUGGCCAAGCUGGUUUCAAACUCCUGAUCUCAAGUGAGCUGCCCACCUUGUUCUCUCAAAGUGCUGAGAUUACAGGCAUGAGCCCCUGCACCCAGCCUGCAUAACUUUUUUUAAAAGGCAUUGUUGCCUUGUUCCCUUGAAUCACUUUCUCUGGGAAACUAGCUAUCAUGUCAUGAGGACACUCAAGCAGCUCUGGGAGAGACCCCCUGUGGCUAGAAGCUGUGGAUUCUCACCAACAGCCAUGCAAGAUUCCCCAGCCCCAGUCGAGCCUUCAGAUGACCACAGCCCCAGCUGAUAUCUUGACUGCAAUAUCAUGAAAAACCAUGUGUCAGAACUGCUCAGACAUGUUGCUCCCAAAUUCUGGACCUGCAGAAACCAUGAAAGACAAUAAAUGAUUAUUGCUGUUUUAGGUCACUAUGUUUUGAGCUAACUUCUUACACAGCAAUAGAUACUAAUGCAUAUUUUAACCAGUUUCCUACAUUAAAACCUUUCUGUUGGAAAGACCUGGAGUGUGUUUUAUUUUUCUGACUGAUACAAACUCCUGUCCUGAAUUGUAAACCAAGAGUGAAAAAAUAAGAAAAAAGAGUAAAGAAGAUGGAAUAUCUAAAUACAGUCAUGUGUUACUUGAUGACAGCAAUACAUUCUGAGAAACAUAUGGGUGGCAAUUUUGUGGU
This 7630-nucleotide long non-coding RNA is filed under the name Homo sapiens (human). Its description in RNAcentral is "non-protein coding lnc-EIF2B1-1:9". Lineage: Eukaryota; Metazoa; Chordata; Mammalia; Primates; Hominidae. The record is from RNAcentral.